AAAGAAAAAAGAAAAAAGAAAAAAGGAAAAAUAAAAAAGAGAUAAAAGGAAAGAAGUAAAGUAGAAUAAGAUAGAUGCCAUGUUUUCUCUCUAUCAAGCUCUUAGUCUUAAUUUAGCGAGAUGAGUCUUAUUGCUUAGGCUUAUACCUUGUUACUUUCCUUACCACCCAUUUAUUCAUCAUGUAGAGCAUAGCACUCAUGGUACAAAUCACUUGACAUCCAUUGUGCAUACCUUGGCAAAUCCCUACUUCCCAUGCAACAUCGAAACCGAGGACUCACAUGCCUUGGGGUCACUCUGCGUUACAUGGGCCUAUCUUUUCCUUGUCGAGUCACUCCCAUCCUUUCACAUCAUUUUCUAAUGAUCGGAAACACGAGGCUUCUUGGUUCAUGAUGAAUGCUUACUUGACUAUGUGAUCUGUGCUUCCCAAUACAUGAAUUGGUUUGUACUACUGAAAGACUUUGUAUCAUGAAGCAUCCCUUUAGUAUAUGGUACUAGAGCUACAGUGUUGAAGAGACACUCAGAGUCAACUUCCUCAAGAUCCACGACAAUGAUCACUUAUAUUAAGAUCAUUUCCCCCUGCCACACGAGCUAUGAGGAGGUCAAGAUGUCGUGGGCGGUGGUGCCGCUGGACGACGAAAACCUACUCCCCCGCACCUCCCUCGCCCACAAGCGCUGGUGUCGCAUCGUAUCCGACACCCUCUUUUUCCGCCGCUUUCGCACACACCACCGCUGCAGACCUCCGUUCAGUUGCUUGAUCAGUGACCUGUGAGGCUUCUCCUACACAUCUACCAUGGAGGCUCCAGAUCAUGUCCCCGCUGGGCACGGCUCCUGGCUCUUGGAUCCACGACACUGAUCACUUGAUUGGUUCCGGUGGACAACCAAAAGGUUCCCUGGAAUUGCCGAGGAGAUUCACCCAAUGAACCGCUUUCAGCAGAACCGUUGAAGUUUUACUCUGGUGUAACGACACGCCUCGAAUCGCUCACUAGUAGCCUGAGUUGCAAUUUCGUGGAGUGUCUGAAGCUUGAAGUUUUCCUCGUGUUUAUGCAAUUAUUAUGAUCUGGAAAACAAAUUCCUUGCGGUAUCUGGUUUAGUUUAGUUUUAUGUCACAAGUUCUGCUUCUAUAGCAAAGAUUGACAAAUUAUUUGUAAAACAAUUGAACUAAAUUCUAU
Long non-coding RNA from Triticum aestivum (bread wheat), 1169 nucleotides. RefSeq lists it as uncharacterized. The transcript has 2 exons. The record is from RefSeq and is a predicted model, not a curated record. Lineage: Eukaryota; Viridiplantae; Streptophyta; Magnoliopsida; Poales; Poaceae.